CAUAGGUUAAUGAGGCGAACCGGGGGAACUGAAACAUCUAAGUACCCCGAGGAAAAGAAAUCAACCGAGAUUCCCCCAGUAGCGGCGAGCGAACGGGGAGCAGCCCAGAGCCUGAAUCAGUGUGUGUGUUAGUGGAAGCGUCUGGAAAGGCGCGCGAUACAGGGUGACAGCCCCGUACACAAAAAUGCACAUACUGUGAGCUCGAUGAGUAGGGCGGGACACGUGGUAUCCUGUCUGAAUAUGGGGGGACCAUCCUCCAAGGCUAAAUACUCCUGACUGACCGAUAGUGAACCAGUACCGUGAGGGAAAGGCGAAAAGAACCCCGGCGAGGGGAGUGAAAAAGAACCUGAAACCGUGUACGUACAAGCAGUGGGAGCACGCUUAGGCGUGUGACUGCGUACCUUUUGUAUAAUGGGUCAGCGACUUAUAUUCUGUAGCAAGGUUAACCGAAUAGGGGAGCCGAAGGGAAACCGAGUCUUAACUGGGCGUUAAGUUGCAGGGUAUAGACCCGAAACCCGGUGAUCUAGCCAUGGGCAGGUUGAAGGUUGGGUAACACUAACUGGAGGACCGAACCGACUAAUGUUGAAAAAUUAGCGGAUGACUUGUGGCUGGGGGUGAAAGGCCAAUCAAACCGGGAGAUAGCUGGUUCUCCCCGAAAGCUAUUUAGGUAGCGCCUCGUGAAUUCAUCUCCGGGGGUAGAGCACUGUUUCGGCAAGGGGGUCAUCCCGACUUACCAACCCGAUGCAAACUGCGAAUACCGGAGAAUGUUAUCACGGGAGACACACGGCGGGUGCUAACGUCCGUCGUGAAGAGGGAAACAACCCAGACCGCCAGCUAAGGUCCCAAAGUCAUGGUUAAGUGGGAAACGAUGUGGGAAGGCCCAGACAGCCAGGAUGUUGGCUUAGAAGCAGCCAUCAUUUAAAGAAAGCGUAAUAGCUCACUGGUCGAGUCGGCCUGCGCGGAAGAUGUAACGGGGCUAAACCAUGCACCGAAGCUGCGGCAGCGACGCUGAUGCGUUGUUGGGUAGGGGAGCGUUCUGUAAGCCUGUGAAGGUGUGCUGUGAGGCAUGCUGGA
This 1074-nucleotide ribosomal RNA is filed under the name Escherichia coli. RNAcentral describes it as "partial 23S ribosomal RNA". It matches the Rfam family "Bacterial large subunit ribosomal RNA", at positions 165 to 1277 of the family's 2925-position model. Lineage: Bacteria; Pseudomonadati; Pseudomonadota; Gammaproteobacteria; Enterobacterales; Enterobacteriaceae. The record is from RNAcentral.